RNAcentral lists this transfer RNA (72 nucleotides) under Candidatus Levybacteria bacterium RIFCSPLOWO2_01_FULL_36_10. RNAcentral's name for it is "tRNA-Ile". It matches the Rfam family "tRNA". Rfam says of the family: Transfer RNA (tRNA) molecules are approximately 80 nucleotides in length. Lineage: Bacteria; Candidatus Levyibacteriota. The record is from RNAcentral. RNAcentral also lists the same sequence under 2 other names.
GGGCAUGUGGUUCAGUGGUAGAACGCUUUCCUGAUAAGAAAGAGGUCCCAAGUUCGAUUCUUGGCAUGCCCA